UACCCUGUAGAUCCGGAUUUGUG
Molecule: microRNA, 23 nt
Filed under: Cyprinus carpio (common carp)
Lineage: Eukaryota; Metazoa; Chordata; Actinopteri; Cypriniformes; Cyprinidae
Description: ccr-miR-10c
Gene: ccr-miR-10c
Source: miRBase by way of RNAcentral